UAGCUAAUCCUGGUCGGACAUCAGGAGGUUAGUGCAAUGGCAUAAGCUAGCUUGACUGCGAGCGUGACGGCGCGAGCAGGUGCGAAAGCAGGUCAUAGUGAUCCGGUGGUUCUGAAUGGAAGGGCCAUCGCUCAACGGAUAAAAGGUACUCCGGGGAUAACAGGCUGAUACCGCCCAAGAGUUCAUAUCGACGGCGGUGUUUGGCACCUCGAUGUCGGCUCAUCACAUCCUGGGGCUGAAGUAGGUCCCAAGGGUAUGGCUGUUCGCCAUUUAAAGUGGUACGCGAGCUGGGUUUAGAACGUCGUGAGACAGUUCGGUCCCUAUCUGCCGUGGGCGCUGGAGAAUUGAGGGGGGCUGCUCCUAGUACGAGAGGACCGGAGUGGACGCAUCACUGGUGUUCGGGUUGUCAUGCCAAUGG
This 418-nucleotide ribosomal RNA is filed under the name Klebsiella pneumoniae. RNAcentral's name for it is "partial 23S ribosomal RNA". It matches the Rfam family "Bacterial large subunit ribosomal RNA", at positions 2318 to 2735 of the family's 2925-position model. Lineage: Bacteria; Pseudomonadati; Pseudomonadota; Gammaproteobacteria; Enterobacterales; Enterobacteriaceae. The record is from RNAcentral.